RNAcentral lists this ribosomal RNA (367 nucleotides) under uncultured phototrophic eukaryote. RNAcentral's name for it is "SSU rRNA". It matches the Rfam family "Bacterial small subunit ribosomal RNA", at positions 524 to 896 of the family's 1533-position model. The record is from RNAcentral.
UACGGGGGAUGCAAGCGUUAUCCGGAAUCAUUGGGCGUAAAGCGCCUGUAGGUUGUUUAAUAAGUCUGUUGUUAAAGCCUAGGGCUUAACCCUAGGAAAGCAAUGGAAACUACUAGACUAGAGUAUGAUAGGGGUAGAGGGAAUUUCUAGUGUAGCGGUGAAAUGCGUAGAUAUUAGAAAGAACACCGGUGGCGAAGGCGCUCUACUGGAUCAUUACUGACACUCAGAGGCGAAAGCUAGGGUAGCAAAAGGGAUUAGAUACCCCUGUAGUCCUAGCCGUAAACGAUGGAUACUACAUGUUGUGCAUAGUACAGUAUGGUAGCUAACGCGUUAAGUAUCCCGCCUGGGGAGUACGCUCGCAAGGGUG